Molecule: ribosomal RNA, 497 nt
Filed under: uncultured bacterium
Lineage: Bacteria
Description: partial 16S ribosomal RNA
Rfam family: Bacterial small subunit ribosomal RNA
Source: RNAcentral
GAUGAACGCUGGCGGCGUGCCUAAUACAUGCAAGUCGAGCGAACAGACGAGGCGCUUGCUCCUCUGACGUUAGCGGCGGACGGGUGAGUAACACGUGGAUAACCUACCUAUAAGACUGGGAUAACUUCGGGAAACCGGAGCUAAUACCGGAUAAUAUCUUGAACCGCAUGGUUCAAUAGUGAAAGACGGUUUUGCUGUCACUUAUCGCUGGAUCCCGGCUGCAUUAGCUAGUUGGUAAGGUAACGGCUUACCAAGGCAACGAUGCGUAGCCGACCGGAGAGGGUGGUAGGCCACACUGGAGCUGAGACGCGGUCCAGACGCCUGCGGGAGGCAGCAGAAGGGAAUCUGACGCAAUGGGCGAAAGCCUGACGGAGCGACGCCGCGUGAGUGAUGAAGGUCUUCGGAUCGUAAAACUCUGUUAUUAGGGAAGAACAAAUGUGUAAGUAACUAUGCACGUCUUGACGGUACCGAAUCAGAAAGCCACGGCUAACUACGUG